This 522-nucleotide ribosomal RNA is filed under the name uncultured fungus. RNAcentral's name for it is "eukaryotic LSU rRNA". The stretch from base 148 to 301 matches the Rfam family "5.8S ribosomal RNA". The record is from RNAcentral. Lineage: Eukaryota; Fungi.
CUUGGUCAUUUAGAGGAAGUAACGGUCGUAACAAGGUUUCCGUAGGUGAACCUGCGGAAGGAUCAUUAACAAAUCUAAUUAUAAGCCCGGCCGCGAGGCCUGGACAUUAAUGCGUGUAUGUGUGACUGUUUUAUUUGAAAAGUAUACAACUUUUAACAAUGGAUCUCUUGGCUCUUGCAACGAUGAAGAACGCAGUGAAAUGCGAAAAUUAAUGCGAUUUGCAUGAAUCUGUGAGUCAUCUAGUCUUUGAACGCACCUUGCACUCAGUGCGUAAGCUCUGAGUAUGCCUGUUUGAGAAUCGCAAACCACCUCAUAUUUGUAUAUAUGGAUUUGGCCUCGGUCAGAGGCUGGAGUAGAGAAGGCAGGCCCGAUAUUAGCUUUAUAGUGUGCCAGAGCAUCACUGUUUGCAAAGUAUUGGGGCUGAAGAGAGGGAUCUCCUCCCAUUUACGCCUUACAUCCUAAUAUUGAUCUCAAAUCAGGCAAGGCUACCCGCUGAACUUAAGCAUAUCAAUAAGCGGAGGA